Molecule: ribosomal RNA, 403 nt
Filed under: uncultured bacterium
Lineage: Bacteria
Description: partial 16S ribosomal RNA
Rfam family: Bacterial small subunit ribosomal RNA
Source: RNAcentral
GACGAACGCUGGCGGCGUGCCUAAUACAUGCAAGUCGAACGCAGUGGGUACGGGUGAGUAACACGUGGGUAACCUCCCCUCAGAGUGGAAAACACUUUGAAAAAGGUGCUAAACCGAUACUGAUGGAUGGAACGGCGGUGCCUUAGCUAGUGGGUGAGGUAACGGCGCACCAAGGCCACGAUGCAAAGCCGCCCUGAGAGGGUGAUCGGCCACACUGGGAUUGAGACACGGCCCAGACUCCUAGGGGAGGCAGCAGUAGGGAAUCUUCGGCAAUGGACGAAAGUCUGACCGAGCAACGCCGCGUGAGUGAAGAAGGUUUUCGGAUCGUAAAACUCUGUUGUUAGAGAAGCGGUAUCUAACCAGAAAGCCACGGCUAACUACGUGCCAGCAGCCGCGGUAAUAC